Lolium perenne is the source of this 3511-nucleotide non-coding RNA. The record is from RefSeq and is a predicted model, not a curated record. Lineage: Eukaryota; Viridiplantae; Streptophyta; Magnoliopsida; Poales; Poaceae.
CCAACCGGAGUGGGACAGCCUCAUUCUCUCUCCACCCCUCUUCUCGCACGCACCUCUCGCGAUCCUCUUCUCCACUGCGCCGCCGCCGCCGCCGCCAGCUGUCGCCCCGGCUGGUACCUGCCGCAUCCGCCGCCACCGUCGACCGGUGGAACUCCGGAGUCUCUCCUCUGCUACUUUCUCCGCCGCCACGAUGUACGCCCGUGCCCGCACGCGUUGCUACGUGAAACCCUAGCUUAGCAGCUUGGGCUCGCCGGCGCUGUUCUGGACGCCUCCCGCUGAUACCGGCGCGGGCAUGGGACCACCGGCGCUGCUCAGUGACAUCGCCAUGGACCCCUCUGCUAGAUCCAAGCCUCCGCGCCACCCUACAUCACCCAAGCGCGCGUGCCCGCGAAACCCUAGCCGUGGAGCUCGGGCUCGCGACAUGGUGCCCGCGCCUGCGCCCCCACUGCUCCCCCUCGUCAACCACGAGCUUCCCUGCUUUCCUAUGCUCCUGCUACCCCGACGUCGACGACUACCACAUGUUGUUGUCGCCUGGUUGGCCGGGGCCUCCCCACCAUGGUGCGGUGGUAGGCUGCGGUUGCCCUCUCCUUUUGUUCAGCGACCUCGAUGGCUUCACCACGGCCACAACUACCACUAUGAGCUAUUUCUUCUCCCUUCUAUAUUGAGCCUGCAGCAUAAACUCUAUAUUUUGAACUGACUAUACACUAAUACACAUCUCUAUACAUUAGGGCUGACUUACCAAGUGCAGAUGUAAUAUUGUAGUUGUAGUAGUACAUAGGGCGGGGAUUCUGAUUAUUUGCCUAAUUGUCACAUUGGUGCUUUGUAUCGAGAUCAGUUCACAUAUGUGUUGUGCAUAGCACACUUCAAGCGUGCAACUGUCUCUAACUGGUCCUACUCUAGGUUUCAUACACAUUAUCUGAUAUAGUUGGAUUUGAUGCUGAGACGUCCUGGAGUCCUUGUAUUCUGUAGCAUGCUGGGGGAGACACAGAAUCAGUAGAAAAAACCUACACUGUCUGCUUGCUAAAUUACAAUGGAUAGAGAACCACACGUGCAUAAGUUGAUAGGUCUACUUUUGUUCAGACUAUCCAAAUAACUAUCUAGCCGUUGUCCUAGAACUGAUAUGCAUCCAUUUUUAGUCAGGUGGUCCCCCUUUCCCUGCUUCCCUAUGUUCCUGCUACCCUGACAUCGAUGACUGCCUGUUGUUGUUGCCUGGGUGAUCGGGGCCUCCCCACCGUGGUGUGGUGGUAGGCUGUGGCUUCCCUCUCCUCUUCUUCAGGAAUCUCACUGCUCAUGUGCAACCAUACAUAGAAGCUCAUUGCUAGUACUAAUCUUGUUACAAGUAGCAGUUGUUAGUAUAUUGGCAUGCACCUAAGUGGUCAUGAUGUCUCUACCUCCAGCAAGAAGUAAGAUGUAUGAUGUAAUUUGGAUAGUAGUAGCAGCUAGCACUUACUCAGCUAGCUGUACAUGAGCUGCAUGUUAGUGACUUGCCAAAGUCAAUUUCGCUAGUCACGUGAGUUGUUUGAGUGAGCUGUAAACUACCGCAGCUUGCAUAAGAGGACCUUAUCUCCUUGUAGAAGAAAGCUGAUUGUAGUGUAUGUGAAGAUUGCAUUAAGGUUCAUACUAGCUCCUGUGCCGUGUACAUGGGAAACCAGAGGGGAUUCUGGUGAGAGCUGGUAGCCAGCUCUAACAUUCAUAAUAUGAUAUUGACAUCAGCUACUAGACUUUACUGAGAAAAAUAUUCGGUGAGUAAUCUUAUGUCCAAAAUUGACAACGCUUUCUUUGCCAGUGCGUUACAAUUUUUGAUAUAAUUUCUAAUGCUUAUGCAAUUUCCAUACCCUCUCUUCCUUUUCUGAUCAGUUAAUCUAGAUUUGUGCAUUAUAUUACAUGUUCUGCUAUUACAGAGUAUGUCAUCUAACUGGUAAAAUUUUACUUGCAUACUUUUAUCUAUUUAGAAAAAAUAUCACUCUUGCUAUCAGUAAUUAUUUCCAUUAAUUGACCCAAAUUUAACGAAUUGUAUUGCAGGCACUGCAAUCGAUUGUCGUCCCCAAUCGUCAUUGAGGGAAAAGCUUGCUGGGAUCUGUACAUUGAUGGACUUGUCUUGUUCUGAUGGUAAUUUGCUUGAUGCACUAGCUGCUGCGAUAAAGGAACCUACUUUAGUAUUUUUCUCAGGGUACAUGCAUUAGUUUUCCAUAAAAGGCUGGAUUACUAGAAGCAAUUAAAUGAGCGCUGGAUAAACAAAAAUGAGAUUUUGCUACCCCUUGUACAUUGCUGGCCAUGGACGCAUGUAUUCUUUCACUGAGCCUGUAGAGUAUUACUUAAACGACUACAAAUGCUUUCUUUUAGUGGUGGUCUGGCGGAUAAUUUUUUAUUUACAUACUGGAUAGAAGGUCAAAUGCAAGAAUUUCGCAACAAACUGGAUAGAAAACAAAUCACUAUAUGCAAGGCGUGCGGGUACGACCUAAAGCUAAGCUCUCUGGUGUUGUACAUGGCGGCCGGCGCGACGAGGCGGCGGCGGAGGGUGGUGGUGUUUGAGGCGGACGGUUGCUGUGCUGCAAGUGCGGCGCCCACCUCGACAUGCGGGCGCUCUGCCUCUUCUUGCGCCGGACGCGGUUGCUGUGCUGCAAGUGCGGCGCCCACCUCGGGUACGGCUACUACGGGCAUGACACCACCGCCGACAGCAAGGCUCCCCGUUCGCCAAGGAGUACCAGAAGCAUAUGACCGGCAUGGAGGAAGAUCUUCCUGCUCUGGGGCUGGAGCGCCUCAAAGAAAUGAUCAAGAAAUGCCAGGCUACGCCCUGUUCCCCGCAGGGCCUCGGCGACGAGAGAGACGUCGCCGUCCCAGGAGGUAGCCAGUGCUCCGGGGCUAGCCAUUGCUAUGGAACUGGUUCCAGAAGAUUGACAAGAUCAAGGACUCUAACAGGCAGUCCAAGCAGCUGGAGGAGCUCACUGGGAAGAUGAGGGAGUGCAAGCGCUUAAUCGCAGACCUCGCAGGUGUUGGUGACGCCCUUGCCAGGCCUCGGCCGCGGCCGUUCAUUCAGGAACACCACGCACGCUCUGUUGAGUGGAGGCCGGUGGGCGAGGCAGAGCGGGCAGCAAGGGAGCUGCUAGAUGCAGGGGCCGGCCGCCCGGCCGGCGGGGGAGCUCGCCUCUGCUCCAUGGAGGCCCCGCCUCCUCUGCUUCUGGUUCUGGAGGCCCCGCCUCCUCUGGUCCUGGAGCGGUCGCGGAUGGAGAGCGUGCGAUUGCAGCUCCGGCGCGGCGCCAGACGGGGACAGAGCUCUGGCGCGGGACGUGGACGUCGGGAUCAAGAUUGAUUUUGAUUUGAGGACCACAGCUGAGAAGAAUUGAACUCGCGAGGGGGUUUUGACAAAAUGAUAAUUGAGCAUAGGCUGAGUCAUCUAAAUCGGGCUGGAGGGAGUACAACUUUUAGUUGAAAAUCUGAUAUUUAGAAUGCUGUGAAGUUACAUGUAUUACAAAUUUUUUAUGGUGUGAUAUAUAGACUUCUGGAUUAUGUA